RNAcentral lists this ribosomal RNA (305 nucleotides) under uncultured bacterium. RNAcentral describes it as "bacterial SSU rRNA". It matches the Rfam family "Bacterial small subunit ribosomal RNA", at positions 335 to 657 of the family's 1533-position model. The record is from RNAcentral.
GUACCUACGGGGGGCAGCAGUGGGGGAUAUUGCACAAUGGGGGGAACCCUGAUGCAGCGACGCCGCGUGGGCGAUGGAGUACUUCGGUAUGUAAAGCCCUAUCAGCAGGGAAGAAAAUGACGGUACCUGACUAAGAAGCCCCAGCUAAAUACGUGCCAGCAGCCGCGGUAAUACGUAUGGGGCAAGCGUUAUCCGGAUUUACUGGGUGUAAAGGGAGCGUAGGCGGCCUGGCAAGCCUGCUGUGAAAUACCGGGGCCCAACCCCGGGGCUGCCUUGGGAACUGCCCGGCUGGAGUGCCGGGGAGG